ACUCAAAUGAAUUGACGGGGGCCCGCACAAGCGGUGGAUUAUGUGGUUUAAUUCGAAGCAACGCGCAGAACCUUACCUAGGCUUGAAAUCCCACGAAUCCCUUUUAAACGAGGGAGUGCUCUUCGGAGAAUGUGGUGACAGGCGCUGCAUGGCUGUCGUCAGCUCGUGUCGUGAGAUGUUGGGUUAAGUCUCGCAACGAGCGCAACCCCUAUCCUUAGUUGCCAGCAUUAAGUUGGGCACUCUAGGGAGACUGCCUGGGCUAACCAGGAGGAAGGUGGGGAUGACGUCAAGUCCUCAUGGCCCUUAUGUCUAGGGCUACACACGUAAUACAAUGGUCGGUACAGAGGGAUGCGAACUCGCGAGGGGGAGCAAAUCUCAAAAAACCGAUCUCAGUCCGGAUUGGAGUCUGCAACUCGACUCCAUGAAGUUGGAAUCGCUAGUAAUCGCGGAUCAGCACGCCGCGGUGAAUACGUUCCCGGGCCUUGUACACACCGCCCGU
Molecule: ribosomal RNA, 499 nt
Filed under: uncultured bacterium
Lineage: Bacteria
Description: partial 16S ribosomal RNA
Rfam family: Bacterial small subunit ribosomal RNA
Source: RNAcentral